CAUGAAGCUGGAAUCGCUAGUAAUCGCGAAUCAGCAUGUCGCGGUGAAUACGUUCCCGGGCCUUGUACACACCGCCCGUCACACCAUGGGAGUUUAGAGCACCCGAAGUCAGUGAGGCAACCGGAAGGAGCCAGCUGCCGAAGGUGAGCUAAGUAACUGGGGUGAAGUCGUAACAAGGUACC
RNAcentral lists this ribosomal RNA (182 nucleotides) under uncultured bacterium. Its description in RNAcentral is "partial 16S ribosomal RNA". It matches the Rfam family "Bacterial small subunit ribosomal RNA", at positions 1319 to 1500 of the family's 1533-position model. The record is from RNAcentral.